UUGAGUGAAGUACUUCACCCCUCCAAGCCUCAAGUUUUCUCAGGAGCUUGGAACGAUUUAGCUCAGUUUUGAUUUAUAUGAAAGUGGUCUGUGCAUGAAAAUACUGUUUAAGUGUAAAAUGACAUUAUUAGUACUCUGUGUGAGCAACUACACUUGCUGCUGUAGCCUGAGUGGAUGUCACCCUUUGGGUGCAUGUCUUGAAGUGAUUGAGUUAUUUAUGGAAAUUGCCCCAGGCAAGGCUAU
Molecule: long non-coding RNA, 243 nt
Filed under: Homo sapiens (human)
Lineage: Eukaryota; Metazoa; Chordata; Mammalia; Primates; Hominidae
Description: non-protein coding lnc-CPNE9-2:1
Source: RNAcentral